This 147-nucleotide ribosomal RNA is filed under the name Paenibacillus sp. P46E. RNAcentral describes it as "partial 23S ribosomal RNA". It matches the Rfam family "Bacterial large subunit ribosomal RNA", at positions 2772 to 2925 of the family's 2925-position model. Lineage: Bacteria; Bacillati; Bacillota; Bacilli; Caryophanales; Paenibacillaceae. The record is from RNAcentral.
UGAAAGCAUCUAAGCGUGAAGCCCCCCUCAAGAUGAGAUUUCCCAGUAUGUAAGACCCCUUGAAGACGACGAGGUAGAUAGGUUGGAGGUGGAAGCACGGUAACGUGUGGAGCUGACCAAUACUAAUCGGUCGAGGGCUUAUCCAAA